RNAcentral lists this ribosomal RNA (464 nucleotides) under uncultured bacterium. Its description in RNAcentral is "partial 16S ribosomal RNA". It matches the Rfam family "Bacterial small subunit ribosomal RNA", at positions 28 to 507 of the family's 1533-position model. The record is from RNAcentral.
GACGAACGCUGGCGGCGUGCUUAACACAUGCCAGUCGAACGGAAAGGCCCUGCUUGCAGGGUACUCGAGUGGCGAACGGGUGAGUAACACGUGGGUGAUCUGCCCUGCACUUCGGGAUAAGCCUGUGAAACUGGGUCUAAUACCGGAUAGGAGCCAUUUUUAGUGUGAUGGUUGGAAAGUUUUUUCGGUGUAGGAUGAGCUCGCGGCCUAUCAGCUUGUUGGUGGGGUAAUGGCCUACCAAGGCGGCGACGGGUAGCCGGCCUGAGAGGGUGGACGGCCACAUUGGGACUGAGGUACGGACCAGACUCCUACGGGCGGCAGCAGUGGGGAAUAUUGCACAAUGGGCGCAAGCCUGAUGCAGCGGCGCCGCGUGGGGGAUGACGGCCUUCGGGUUGUAAACUCCUUUCGCUAGGGACGAAGCUUUUGUGACGGUACCUAGAUAAGAAGCACCGGCUAACUACGUG